Molecule: ribosomal RNA, 495 nt
Filed under: uncultured bacterium
Lineage: Bacteria
Description: bacterial SSU rRNA
Rfam family: Bacterial small subunit ribosomal RNA
Source: RNAcentral
GACGAACGCUGGCGGCGUGGAUUAGGCAUGCAAGUCGGACGGUAGAGCUUUAUCGUAAGAUAGAGUUUGAGAGUGGCGAACGGGUGAGUAACACGUAGGAAUCUACCCUUAAGACGGGGACAACCCAGGGAAACUUGGGCUAAUACCGGAUGAGAGUGCGAGAGAUUGCAUUUAAAAGGAUGGCGAAAGUUGUCGCUUAGGGAUGAGCCUGCGGUCUAUUAGUUAGUUGGUGAGGUAAGAGCUCACCAAGGCGAUGAUAGAUAGGCGGCCUUAACGGGUGGUCGCCCACACUGGGAUUGAGAUACGGCCCAGACUCCUACGGGAGGCAGCAGUCGAGAAUAGUCUACAAUGGUCGGAAGACUGAUAGUGCGACGCCGCGUGAACGAUGAAUCCCUUCGGGGUUAAAGUUCUUUUAUAUGUGAGCAGUGCUUCUUAUAUUAACAGUAUGGGGAGAGAGAUAUUAGCAUAUGAAUAAGCAACGGCUAACUCCGUGCC